UACGUAGGGUGCGAGCGUUGUCCGGAAUUACUGGGCGUUAAGAGCUCGUAGGUGGUUUGUCGCGUUGUUCGUGAAAACUCACAGCUCAACUGUGGGCGUGCGGGCGAUACGGGCAGACUGGAGUACUGCAGGGGAGACUGGAAUUCCUGGUGUAGCGGUGGAAUGCGCAGAUAUCAGGAGGAACACCGGUGGCGAAGGCGGGUCUCUGGGCAGUAACUGACGCUGAGGAGCGAAAGCGUGGGGAGCGAACAGG
This 253-nucleotide ribosomal RNA is filed under the name uncultured bacterium. RNAcentral's name for it is "partial 16S ribosomal RNA". It matches the Rfam family "Bacterial small subunit ribosomal RNA", at positions 524 to 776 of the family's 1533-position model. The record is from RNAcentral.